RNAcentral lists this ribosomal RNA (497 nucleotides) under uncultured bacterium. RNAcentral's name for it is "partial 16S ribosomal RNA". It matches the Rfam family "Bacterial small subunit ribosomal RNA", at positions 28 to 507 of the family's 1533-position model. The record is from RNAcentral.
GAUGAACGCUGGCGGCGUGCCUAAUACAUGCAAGUCGAGCGAACGGACGAGAAGCUUGCUUCUCUGAUGUUAGCGGCGGACGGGUGAGUAACACGUGGAUAACCUACCUAUAAGACUGGGAUAACUUCGGGAAACCGGAGCUAAUACCGGAUAAUAUUUUGAACCGCAUGGUUCAAAAGUGAAAGACGGUCUUGCUGUCACUUAUAGAUGGAUCCGCGCUGCAUUAGCUAGUUGGUAAGGUAACGGCUUACCAAGGCAACGAUGCAUAGCCGACCUGAGAGGGUGAUCGGCCACACGGGAACUGAGACACGGUCCAGACUCCUACGGGAGGCAGCAGUAGGGAAUCUUACGCAAUGGGCGAAAGCCUGACGGAGCAACGCCGCGUGAGUGAUGAAGGUCUUCGGAUCGUAAAACUCUGUUAUUAGGGAAGAACAUAUGUGUAAGUAACUGCGCACAUCUUGACGGUACCUAAUCAGAAAGCCACGGCUAACUACGUG